This is a long non-coding RNA of Mytilus californianus (California mussel), 1156 nucleotides long. RefSeq lists it as uncharacterized. The transcript has 4 exons. The record is from RefSeq and is a predicted model, not a curated record. Lineage: Eukaryota; Metazoa; Mollusca; Bivalvia; Mytilida; Mytilidae.
GUUUUAACGUACGAAUCUAAACAAUACGCAGUAUUGUAAAAACUUUUAAACAUCUCAACUGAUUGUUCAGUGAAAUUACUAUUGCAUUUUUUUUUAACUUUUAUCUUAAAUUGAUUCUGAAAUAAAUGUGCGCUAACAUUUAACAUUCAAUUGUAGAUCGCAAAUAGUUGAACAUUCUAAUCAAGGUGCUGCUAUCGAGAAUAGCUUAUACCAGUCUGCAAGUGAUCUAACUGAACCAUCAACAGCUUCUGGUAUUUUGGAGACAGCCAAUCGUUCCAUUGAUAAAAUCAAAACAAAUGUGAAAAGACAAAUAGUAGGUUAUAAAAUUGUUGGAACAGAAGACAGCAGGCGGCCGUUUGACUGUGCAGACUUGAAUAAAAGAGAAGAAAAUAAUAUCUGUUACGAUUCAUCAACUCUUAAUUACGUUGAAGUUAUCUUUGACCCUGUUGAAGCUAAAAGUAAAUUUCACAUUCAUGGAGCUGAAAACAGGACACCGUAUGCUGACAUAGACUUGUCUUUAACAGCAGAUCCAUUGAUUUCUUCUGAUGAAGAGUCUUUAUCUGUUCGUGAAGACAAUAACGACUUUGUGUCUCUGGAGGAUGUGCAGCAGUGGGAUAUUCAUGAGAGUUGAAUUUUAUGUUAAUUUAGGUGUCCCAUUUAUCUAUUUUAACUCAAAUUGGAGCAUAAUGAAUGUAUUAACAAACUUGAUUAUUUGUUGUUAAUAUAAUCCAAAAAUACAAAAGUAUAAUUUAAUAUUAACAUGAUUAUCAUAUUGAAAGAUUGGGGAAGUACCUCAUGUAUUGUUCGUAUUGGUAUGGUAGCUGGGGUCUCUAUGGUAGACAUCUUCGGACUUAAUUUGUAUAUUGACAUUUCAGGAUAAUUAUACUGGUAUAUUGUGUUUUGAAUAGAUGAUUAUGUCUUAACUAAAAUUUGAAAAAUCAUUAAUUUUCAUAGUUUAUUUCUGUUAGUUCCUAUAUUUAAAUUCAUUCCUAAUACAAACAUGACAAAAGAGUAUCAACAUCAUAUAUAAUUACCUUCAUUUGCACUAUUACAUGUCAGUUUUGAGUGCACUUUUGACUCUAAGUUUUAAUUUUUUGUAAAUUGAUUCUUACUUAAUGUUUUUAAUAAAACACUUGAUAUAUUUGUUUUCCACCUA